RNAcentral lists this ribosomal RNA (497 nucleotides) under uncultured bacterium. RNAcentral's name for it is "partial 16S ribosomal RNA". It matches the Rfam family "Bacterial small subunit ribosomal RNA", at positions 28 to 507 of the family's 1533-position model. The record is from RNAcentral.
GAUGAACGCUGGCGGCGUGCCUAAUACAUGCAAGUAGAACGCUGAAGGAAGGAGCUUGCUCUUUCCGGAUGAGUUGCGAACGGGUGAGUAACGCGUAGGUAACCUGCCUGGUAGCGGGGGAUAACUAUUGGAAACGAUAGCUAAUACCGCAUAACAGUAGAUGUUGCAUGAUAUCUACUUAAAAGGUGCAAUUGCACCACUACCAGAUGGACCUGCGUUGUAUUAGCUAGUUGGUGAGGUAACGGCUCACCAAGGCGACGAUACAUAGCCGACCUGAGAGGGUGAUCGGCCACACUGGGACUGAGACACGGCCCAGACUCCUACGGGAGGCAGCAGUAGGGGAUCUUCGGCAAUGGACGGAAGUCUGACCGAGCAACGCCGCGUGAGUGAAGAAGGUUGUCGGAUCGUAAAGCUCUGUUGUAAGAGAAGAACGAGUGUGAGAGUGGAAAGUUCACACUGUGACGGUAUCUUACCAGAAAGGGACGGCUAACUACGUG